CGAACGCUGGCGGCGUGCUUAACACAUGCAAGUCGAACGGAAAGGCCCCUUUGGGGGUACUCGAGUGGCGAACGGGUGAGUAACACGUGAGUAACCUGCCCUUGACUUCGGGAUAACUUCAGGAAACUGGGGCUAAUACCGGAAAGGAAUCCUUGCUGCAUGGCGGGGGUUGGAAAGAUUCGGCGGUUUUGGAUGGGCUCGCGGCUUAUCAGCUUGUUGGUGGGGAAGUGGCUUACCAAGGCUUUGACGGGUAGCCGGCCUGUGAGGGCGACCGGCCACAUUGGGACUGAGAUACGGCCCAGACUCCUACGGGAGGCAGCAGUGGGGAAUAUUGCACAAUGGGCGGAAGCCUGAUGCAGCAACGCCGCGUGCGGGAUGACGGCCUUCGGGUUGUAAACCGCUUUCAGCAGGGGCGAAGCUUGUGGUGACGGUACCUGCAGAAGAAGCACCGGCUAACUACGUG
RNAcentral lists this ribosomal RNA (463 nucleotides) under uncultured bacterium. RNAcentral describes it as "partial 16S ribosomal RNA". It matches the Rfam family "Bacterial small subunit ribosomal RNA", at positions 30 to 507 of the family's 1533-position model. The record is from RNAcentral.